UGUUCCCAUCGCCUAGCUUUGUCUCCCGGCUUUAGUAAUUCGCGCAUCCUUAUUCAGAUUUGGUGACGUCGGGCGGCACGUCGGGGGGGCGGCGGCCAAUGGAGAGGCAGUGGCCAUGGCAACCUCUUAAUUUAUAGCAUAUCUAAAUUGGCUCCAGCCUCGCGCUUGGCGCAGAGGGGGAAAAAGAAGGCAACCCUAUUGUGGAGGGGCGAGAGUUUCACCUGGCUUGCCGGGCUCUAAAAUACAGCCCAUUCCAGGAUUUGAAAACUGACCAGGCAAGGAGUGUGCGGAGGAAAGGAUCUUGAGGAAAGAGGCUGUCAAAUCGUUUUCCAGUAGCAAGUUUACGCGCCUUCCCUUUAGAAGCGUCCGACCGGAGAGGAGCAGCGAUUCCUGAGAUGCAUCAGGGGUGCGAAGUUUUGAAUCCAUGAACAGAGGGAGAGAAGAGGGAAGGGUGGUGAGAAAGAGGGACGCCGCCGAUUUCCAUCGACAACCCACCUUAACAAAUCCGAGAUUCCUCCUGGCCAGUUUUCUGGACGGCCGCGGCUGCCCUCUGACCUGAGAGUAAGGCCCACUGACUACAGAGAGACUUCCUUCCGAGUAACCAGGGCUGCAUCCUGUGGCCCAGGACUCACUCUGCCUGUAUUCCAGAUCACUCUCUGGACUGACUUCGGGAGCGUGGGCACUGGGGGGGUGGGGGGUGGUCCUCGCCCUCUUGCCGCUGUUGCCUAGGAAUUUGGAGAGGGGCUCUGGCAUUCUCCCCCCGCCCCGCCGCCUCUUUUUGUCAUGCAAGGUGCACUGACAACAGGGGACAGGAGAGAUUAAGUUAUCAGGGUUCUUUCUGGCUGGCCCCCUCAGCCCCUCUCCCUCCGAAUGGGAGGGGCUGACAAGCGUCGCACAAAGCCGCCCAGAAUGUCCUGGGCCCCAAAUACAGAGUUAGUCAUUUCAUUCAGUCUGAGAAUGGAGAGAACUCUUUCCCCAUUUGUGGGACAACAUGCCUAGGGUGGGGGUGGGGUGGCGUGCGAGGAGGAGAGGCAGCAGGGCAUCAAAGAAGGAGCCCCCCCCCGGGAGAAACCCCCGCCCAGAUCCCUCCUUCUCCCGUUGCGCCUCAACCCUCAACGCCUCCAGCUAAAUGUUUUAAGUGCCAUCUGAUUUUUAUGUUUUUUAAGGAACGCAAAUAUUACAAACGUCGGUCCUUCCCCAAAGAACACCCAGGCCUGAGCAGGAGGCGUUAGAAUCCCAGGUAGAGGGUCGGCAGAUGAGAAGUAUUUUUGCCCCCCUUUCCCAGAAGGGGGAGACUUUUCAGAAGGAAGCCCAUUAUUUGUAAAAACAAAGCCAAACCACUUAAAUGGCUGCAGGGUUCGUUUCCAAGUCGAGGAAGGAGAAAAGGGAGCCCUGGAUGGGACGAGAAGCCGCUCUGCAGGCGUCUGAUUCGAGGCCAGGGGAAGAGGGAGAAGCCGCGCGGACUUCGCCUGUAGGGGAAAUAUCUGGCGAAAAAGGCAAAUGCUCGGAGUGUAGAGGUGGGGGUUGAGAAAAGGGGGUUGGGAGCAUAAGCGCUCUUUCCGGAGGAAUCACAGAAAAAUCUGCAAGGAACAAAAGACGAUUGCGUGGGAGAGGGAGAACGAGCGAGAACGCGCGCGAUCGAAUAAGACUACCUUGGAGGUGGAAAAGGGAGUUGGAUCAGGACAUUUCUCAACUGGCAAAGCCUCGCUAGAAUGCAGACAUCUUCUUAUGCCUUGAGCUUAUAACCUUAUUAUGCGAUUUUGGGAAGAGGGUGUGUGUAUUUGGACCAGACUCAAUCCUACCCUGUUUUGUCUGGAAAAACUUUUCACGGCCCACCGGUUUCAACGAGAGACUUCGCUUUCCAACCUUAGGAUUGCUGGGAUAAUUCGAUUUAAAACGAAGUGCUUGGCUUAACUGUCUGAGCAGUUGAUUUACUAUGUGCAUUGUUAGAUACACACAGGUGCGCUUCAAAAGCUGUUCCUCUCCUUUGGUGUAUUUUAUCUCGGGUCUCUUAUUGUCCCUAUUCUGUUUAUAAAGCAUGAAGCGCAUUUCACCUCA
This is a long non-coding RNA of Hemicordylus capensis (graceful crag lizard), 2058 nucleotides long. RefSeq lists it as uncharacterized. The transcript has 2 exons. Lineage: Eukaryota; Metazoa; Chordata; Lepidosauria; Squamata; Cordylidae. The record is from RefSeq and is a predicted model, not a curated record.